Molecule: transfer RNA, 76 nt
Filed under: candidate division WWE3 bacterium RIFCSPHIGHO2_01_FULL_43_9
Lineage: Bacteria; candidate division WWE3
Also listed under: 1 other name
Description: tRNA-Gly
Rfam family: tRNA
About the family: Transfer RNA (tRNA) molecules are approximately 80 nucleotides in length. Their secondary structure includes four short double-helical elements and three loops (D, anti-codon, and T loops). Further hydrogen bonds mediate the characteristic L-shaped molecular structure. tRNAs have two regions of fundamental functional importance: the anti-codon, which is responsible for specific mRNA codon recognition, and the 3' end, to which the tRNAs corresponding amino acid is attached (by aminoacyl-tRNA synthetases). tRNAs cope with the degeneracy of the genetic code in two manners: having more than one tRNA (with a specific anti-codon) for a particular amino acid; and 'wobble' base-pairing, i.e. permitting non-standard base-pairing at the 3rd anti-codon position.
Source: RNAcentral
GCGGGUGUAGCUCAGCUGGUAGAGUGUCUCCUUCCCAAGGAGAAGGUCACGGGUUCGAACCCCGCCACCCGCUCCA